Molecule: ribosomal RNA, 497 nt
Filed under: uncultured bacterium
Lineage: Bacteria
Description: partial 16S ribosomal RNA
Rfam family: Bacterial small subunit ribosomal RNA
Source: RNAcentral
GAUGAACGCUGGCGGCGUGCCUAAUACAUGCAAGUCGAGCGAACAGACGAGGAGCUUGCUCCUCUGACGUUAGCGGCGGACGGGUGAGUAACACGUGGAUAACCUACCUAUAAGACUGGGAUAACUUCGGGAAACCGGAGCUAAUACCGGAUAAUAUAUUGAACCGCAUGGUUCAAUAGUGAAAGACGGUUUUGCUGUCACUUAUAGAUGGAUCCGCGUCGCAUUAGCUAGUUGGUAAGGUAACGGCUUACCAAGGCGACGAUGCGUAGCCGACCUGAGAGGGUGAUCGGCCACACUGGAACUGAGACACGGUCCAGACUACUACGAGAGGCAGCAGAAGGGAAUCGGCCGCAAUGGGCGAAAGCCUGACGGAGCAGCGGCGCGUGAGUGAUGAAGGUCUUCGGAUCGUAAAACUCUGUUAUUAGGGAAGAACAUAUGUGUAAGUAACUAUGCACAGCUUGACGGUACGUAAUCAGAAAGCCACGGCUAACUACGUG